ACGCGUGAAGUUGACCGCCUGGGAGUACGGCCGCAAGGUUAAACUCAAAGGAAUUGACGGGGACCCGCACAAGCGGUGGAUGAUGUGGAUUAAUUCGAUGCAACGCGAAAAACCUUACCUACCCUUGACAUGUCCGGAAGCCUGAAGAGAUUUGGGUGUGCCCGAAAGGGAACCGGAACACAGGUGCUGCAUGGCUGUCGUCAGCUCGUGUCGUGAGAUGUUGGGUUAAGUCCCGCAACGAGCGCAACCCUUGUCGUUAAUUGCCAUCAUUCAGUUGGGCACUUUAACGAGACUGCCGGUGACAAACCGGAGGAAGGUGGGGAUGACGUCAAGUCCUCAUGGCCCUUAUGGGUAGGGCUUCACACGUCAUACAAUGGUCGGUACAGAGGGUUGCCAAGCCGCGAGGUGGAGCCAAUCCCAGAAAGCCGAUCGUAGUCCGGAUUGCAGGCUGCAACUCGCCUGCAUGAAGUCGGAAUCGCUAGUAAUCGCGGAUCAGCAUGUCGCGGUGAAUACGUUCCCGGGUCUUGUACACACCGCCCGUCACACCAUGGGAGCGGGUUCCGCCAGAAGUAGGUAGCCUAACCGCAAGGGGGGCGCUUACCACGGCGGGGUUCGUGACUGGGGUGGAGUCGUAACCAGGUAACCGUA
This 648-nucleotide ribosomal RNA is filed under the name uncultured bacterium. RNAcentral's name for it is "bacterial SSU rRNA". It matches the Rfam family "Bacterial small subunit ribosomal RNA", at positions 855 to 1504 of the family's 1533-position model. The record is from RNAcentral.